Molecule: long non-coding RNA, 1469 nt
Organism: Planococcus citri (citrus mealybug)
Lineage: Eukaryota; Metazoa; Arthropoda; Insecta; Hemiptera; Pseudococcidae
Exons: 6
Source: RefSeq, a predicted model, not a curated record
AAACUGAAGUAAAAGGCAUGAUUCAUAGUUUCAAGAUAAGAAAAUCCACAUUCUUCGUAUUUCGUAAUUCGCCCUUUUGUAUCUGCAAAAAAGUAAAAUCCCAACAACACCAAUGACUGAUUCUUCGAUAACGAUUACGAGAAUAUAGUAGUGAAGACAAGGAGGGUGCUGUAAAAGGUGAUGUAUUGAUGAGUCAUACGCAAAAAAUUCGGUAUCGUAUCUAGUCUUAUCUUUAGUUCGGCGACAUUUUGGCGACAGCCUUGGAUGGGAUAGUGAUUAUUGCCUUUUUUCAUACAUUUGCUUGACAGAUUUUUGACAGUCAGUCUCAGUCAGUCACUCUGUGUUCGCAGUUCGGUUCAGGACGUUGGUCUCGGUUAUCGCGAAAAAUAUUCCAGUCAACUUCUUGCUUCGUUUUCGUACUCCUUGGUUGUUGAAUUGAGGGUUUGAGUUUUAGGGUUAACCGAUUAUCCCUUUCCUUUAUGAUAGUUUUUCGGUGUAUUUCGACUUCGAGUUUUCUUUCGUUUUCGUAAGUUUUGUAGUUCCUAUUCCUAGUUCCGUUCGGCAAAUCGGUUAUCGCGGAAAAUGUUCUAGUCAACUUCUUGCUUCAUUUUUGUAUACUCAUUGGAUUGUUGUAAUUGAAAUGAGGGUUGUCCGAUUAACCCUUUCUUUUCCUCUGAGUCUGAUGAUAGUUUUUCGGCGUAUUUCGGCUUCGACUUCGAGUAUUCUUUCGAGCUCGUGAGUUUUGUAUUUGUUUUCGCUUUUCGAACAGUUUCGAAAAUUCAAGUUGGAAAAUCAGAAUUGAGAAGCAGAUUGCAGAAAUAUUCAGGAAAUCGAUGAAGAUGAUAAUUUCAAGAUUUUGCUGGUGGACAUCACUAUGGAUCCGAUAAGAUGAAAUUCACGAAUGUUGAGAUUGUUUCCAAGUAUAAAGUGACCGCGGAUUAUUUGCCUUCGACUUGAAGAAAAUAAAAGAUUAUAAUUAUUCAACUUUUGAACACCCGAAAAAAUGCUUUUGAUGUUUUGAACAUUGACUGAAAUCUUGUACUCUCAACAAAUAACCCACAAGUCUGGAAUUUUCAACGUUGCCAAAAAUUACAACACCGAGGAAUAAUUUUUAUAAUUAUGCUUUCGAAGCCUCUUCAGUUCAAAGUUCAAAAUUUUUCAAAAGCACGAGCAUUUUUGCAUUUUAAAUUUGUUUAUUUUCGUAAUUUUAAUACUGCUCAGCUGUGUAAAAUCUUGUACUCGACCUGCAGUAUGCAAAUAUGAACGAAUAGGUAGAGAGAAGGCCAACGAACCAAAACAAGGCAUACGUAAAACGAUGCCUUGCUAGGUUCGUGACUAGAGGCGAGAAAAUAAAAAUCAUAACAAUCAACCAACAUGUUAAUUGUUAAGCCUAAAGUAUCCAUAUAAAUAUAAGCUAUUUUCUAGCUUAAGAUAUCAUUUUGUAUACCAAGUUUAGUUGUGAAUAAACC